AAUAUUUAUCGAUAGUUACUAAAUGAUAUUUCAAUUACUUACAUAACCAAUACUACAUUCUAAUUUUAUACGUGAGUUCAACAUUUUAUAAAAACUUAAAUUCCAUAAAUGCAUUAUAGAUCUACUAUAUAUAUAUAUAUAUAUAUAUAUAUUUCAAAUUCUAAAAUCAAAUAUUUUUAUGACUUUGGAGAUCUAUAAAUCACCUAAUCAAAUGCAAACAAUUUAUCCUAUUGUGUAUUAUUCAACUUGUAAAUUGCAAUUUUUUUUGUAACUUAGGAUAACUAUUUAAUUAAGUCUUAGUAUAAAUAUAAAUAAAAAAAUCGUUAAUUCUUAUUUUUUUUAAGACAAAUGAUUUUUUUACAUGCGAAUAGUUAGGUAUUUGUCUAUGACAAAUUUAAAAUGAUAUGCUUAAAUCUGAUUUUUUUUCUGGUGCAAAAACAAUUCACAAUUAAAUUUUAAAAUGUAACAGAUGUAAAAUCAUGACUUCAAAUUGGUUGCAUAGUUUUUGGUAUCAUGUUUGGAAGAAGUUUCAAAACAUAUACUUUCUUAUGCACUAAAUCAUUUACAACAACUACAAAAUAUUUUCUACAAUGGAUGCAAAUAUAUAAAGCUUUCGAGGAAAUAAAGAUGCACUAAAAUAUGCUGCAACUUAAAUGUUUAUUUCUGAUUAAAUUAUUAAUGACCAUUGUUUCUUUCUUUAUUUAUUUUUCACUAUAGUGAUAUUUUAACUAUAAUUGAUGUUAUAACAUGCAAAAUAAAGUAAAAAAAUCCUAAAAUAGUUAGAACUUUACUAAAAAUAAAUUACUAUAAAAUUGAUGUGUAGUAUUUUCUUUGGAAUACUUUAAAACCCUAUUUAGUUUCAACAGGAGUAUGUUCAUCAAAAAUGUUAUUGAUACAUUUCAUUAUCAAUCUCAUAUCAAUGUCAGUCUCAUUGACCAAGACAACAAAUCAAACAUGAAAUUUCAAGUAUGAGUAAAUUAUUAUGUUAAUCAAGUUGUGCAAAUGAAACAAGACUGCAUCUCAUCAUAUAGAAAAAAUUUCAGUGUACAAUCACACCUUUUUAAUUACUCAAUGAAAAAUAAAAAUUUAAUGAACAUCUACAACCUGACUGACCUUUUUGACUUUAAAAAUAUACAUAAGCUUAACUAAUACGUUUGAAUUAGUCAACACAUUGGUGCCAAUCGAAUUCCUUUUGGGUGCUGAUAAGGACUAACCCUCAAAUGUGGUGAGAGGUAUUCAACUAAUAUUGAAAUGAAUAUGAUACAUUUGCACAUCUCUAACAUGUUGGAACCAUACAUUUUUACGUAUGGGCCACGUACAUGCUCCAAAUGGCUUCACAACACCACAUACAUUUUUUCCUUUUGAACCAGAGCAUCUGGUUCUUGCUGAUAUGCUGCAAUAAUAUGAGAGAGUGAAUAGAAAAUUGCUGACUGCCUUUUUUGGGAGUGGCUUCGCAGGUCUUCAAUGCCUUCUUCUAAAAUGGAACUUGGGUGACCAGAUUUAGACGAGUGCAAUUCUUCUGGAGCAUGAAUUGCUCCGUAUGCUACAUGAGAGGUCAUGAGAGGAUCGCCGAUCAGUCUGCACGACGUCUGGGAGGGCUACCUCCUGGAGUUCAGAAUUUUUUUAGAUUCUGUACAUGACUCCCCAUUCUCAUUCGUGAAGGUUGAAUUUAUCAAUAUGUUUAUUUGAAUCAAUGAACAGAUAGAAGCAGUUCACUAAAGUUGUAUCCAAAUUUGUCUAAGACUACAGGUACUCAAUCACAAGGUCUGCACUUGCAUGAUAUCUGCAAAAAGCAAGAGCAAUCUUUCAGUAUAUGCUAGUGAUGACCAGUGUAUUGCGAUUCAAAGCAAGGCUGCGUGAAAGCUCUAGUUACAGCGAAGAUAUCCCUACUUCACAACUACAGAUAUAGGUAAUAAUUGGUGAGAUAUUAAUAUGAUGGACUGGAACAUUAAAUGAAAUGUUGACAGGGAUCACAUCAACGAAAUGAUGAAACAUC
RNAcentral lists this long non-coding RNA (1996 nucleotides) under Physcomitrium patens. RNAcentral describes it as "long non-coding RNA (PPAT_LNC004300)". Lineage: Eukaryota; Viridiplantae; Streptophyta; Bryopsida; Funariales; Funariaceae. The record is from RNAcentral.